Molecule: non-coding RNA, 105 nt
Organism: Erinaceus europaeus (western European hedgehog)
Lineage: Eukaryota; Metazoa; Chordata; Mammalia; Eulipotyphla; Erinaceidae
Source: Rfam
GUGUCUAUUUUAGUAGCACUUACACUAAAAUUAGAACAGCACAGAGAAGCUUGGUGUGGUCCCUGCACAAGGAUGACACAAAUCUGUGAAGUACCCCAUAUCUUU